This 497-nucleotide ribosomal RNA is filed under the name uncultured bacterium. RNAcentral's name for it is "partial 16S ribosomal RNA". It matches the Rfam family "Bacterial small subunit ribosomal RNA", at positions 28 to 507 of the family's 1533-position model. The record is from RNAcentral.
GAUGAACGCUUGCGGCGUGCCUAAUACAUGCAAGUCGAGCGAACAGAUGAGGAGCUUGCUCCUCUGACGUUAGCGGCGGACGGGUGAGUAACACGUGGAUAACCUACCUAUAAGACUGGGAUAACUUCGGGAAACCGGAGCUAAUACCGGAUAAUAUAUUGAACCGCAUGGUUCAAUAGUGAAAGACGGUUUUGCUGUCACUUAUAUUUUGAUCCUCGUCGCAUUAGCUAGUUGGUAAGGUAACGGCUUAACAAGGCAACGAUGCGUAGGCGACCUGAGAGGGUGAGCAGGCACACUAAAAAUUAGACAAGGUACAGACUACAACGGGAGGCAGCAGGAGGGAAUCUUGCGCAAUGGGCGAAAGAGUGACGGAGAAAAUCCGAGUGAGUGAUGAAGGAAUUAGGAUCGUAAAACAAUGCUAUUGGGGAAGAACAAAUGAGUAAGUAACUAUGCAGGUCGUGACGGUACCUAAUAAGAAAGCUAAGGCUAACUACGUG